RNAcentral lists this ribosomal RNA (253 nucleotides) under uncultured bacterium. RNAcentral's name for it is "partial 16S ribosomal RNA". It matches the Rfam family "Bacterial small subunit ribosomal RNA", at positions 524 to 776 of the family's 1533-position model. The record is from RNAcentral.
UACGAAGGGGGCUAGCGUUGUUCGGAGUUACUGGGCGUAAGGGGCGCGUAGGCGGCGCACCAAGUCAGGCGUGAAAGCCCUGGGCUCAACCCGGGAAUUGCGCUUGAGACUGGUGUGCUUGAGUACGGGAGAGGAUAGUGGAAUUCCCAGUGUAGAGGUGAAAUUCGUAGAUAUUGGGAAGAACACCGGUGGCGAAGGCGGCUAUCUGGACCGUAACUGACGCUGAGGCGCGAAAGCGUGGGGAGCAAACAGG